This 426-nucleotide ribosomal RNA is filed under the name Macronyssidae sp. PM. RNAcentral's name for it is "partial 16S ribosomal RNA". The stretch from base 162 to 426 matches the Rfam family "Bacterial large subunit ribosomal RNA", at positions 2079 to 2620 of the family's 2925-position model. Lineage: Eukaryota; Metazoa; Arthropoda; Arachnida; Mesostigmata; Macronyssidae. The record is from RNAcentral.
UGCUCAAUGAUUUUUUAAAUUGCUGUGGUAUUUUGACCAUGCAAAGGUAUUGAAAUAAGAUUUUAAAUGAGUGCUAAGAGAAUGGAUGAAUGGAGAUAAGCUUUUUUUAAAAAAAAAUUUGAAUUUAGAUUAAAAAUAAAAAUGUUUUUAUAAUUUUAUUAGACGAGAAGACCCUAAAAUCUUAAAUUAUUAAAAAAUAAUUUUAAUUGGGGCAAUUAAAAAAUAAAAAGUAAUUUUAUCAAGAAAGUUUAAAAAAAUAAAUAGAUAAGAUACUUUAGGGAUAACAGCGUAAUUAUUAUGGAGAGUUCAUAUUGAUAUAGUAGUUUGCGACCUCGAUGUUGAAUUGAUGAGUCUAUAUGGUGGAGAGACUAUAAGAGAAAGAUUGUUCAUCUUUUAAAUCAUUACAUGAUCUGAGUUCAGACCGGA